GAGUUUGAUCCUGGCUCAGGAUGAACGCUAGCGGCAGGCUUAACACAUGCAAGUCGAGGGGGUAUAGGUUUUUCGGACCUAGAGACCGGCGCACGGGUGCGUAACGCGUAUGCAAUCUACCUUUUACAGAGGGAUAGCCCAGAGAAAUUUGGAUUAAUACCUCAUAGUAUUAUGAUAAGGCAUCUUAUUAUAAUUAAAGUUCCAACGGUAAAAGAUGAGCAUGCGUCCCAUUAGCUAGAUGGUAAGGUAACGGCUUACCAUGGCGACGAUGGGUAGGGGUCCUGAGAGGGAGAUCCCCACACUGGUACUGAGACACGGACCAGACUCCUACGGGAGGCAGCAGUGAGGAAUAUUGGUCAAUGGGCGCAAGCCUGAACCAGCCAUGCCGCGUGCAGGAUGACGGUCCUAUGGAUUGUAAACUGCUUUUGUACAGGGAAGAAACAGUUCUACGUGUAGAACCUUGACGGUACUGUAAGAAUAAGGAUCGGCUAACUCCGUGCCAGCCG
RNAcentral lists this ribosomal RNA (506 nucleotides) under uncultured Flavobacterium sp. RNAcentral describes it as "bacterial SSU rRNA". It matches the Rfam family "Bacterial small subunit ribosomal RNA", at positions 9 to 514 of the family's 1533-position model. The record is from RNAcentral. Lineage: Bacteria; Pseudomonadati; Bacteroidota; Flavobacteriia; Flavobacteriales; Flavobacteriaceae.